This 1439-nucleotide ribosomal RNA is filed under the name uncultured organism. Its description in RNAcentral is "16S ribosomal RNA". It matches the Rfam family "Bacterial small subunit ribosomal RNA". The record is from RNAcentral.
CAGGCUUAACACAUGCAAGUCGAGGGGCAGCAUUUUAGUUUGCUUGCAAACUGAAGAUGGCGACCGGCGCACGGGUGAGUAACACGUAUCCAACCUGCCGAUAACUCCGGGAUAGCCUUUCGAAAGAAAGAUUAAUACCGGAUAGUAUACGAAUAUCGCAUGAUAUUUUUAUUAAAGAAUUUCGGUUAUCGAUGGGGAUGCGUUCCAUUAGUUUGUUGGCGGGGUAACGGCCCACCAAGACUACGAUGGAUAGGGGUUCUGAGAGGAAGGUCCCCCACAUUGGAACUGACACACGGUCCAAACUCCUACGGGAGGCAGCAGUGAGGAAUAUUGGUCAAUGGGCGCGAGCCUGAACCAACCAAGUAGCGUGAAGGAUGAAGGCUCUAUGGGUCGUAAACUUCUUUUAUAUGGGAAUAAAGUUUUCCACGUGUGGAAUUUUGUAUGUACCAUAUGAAUAAGGAUCGGCUAACUCCGUGCCAGCAGCCGCGGUAAUACGGAGGAUCCGAGCGUUAUCCGGAUUUAUUGGGUUUAAAGGGAGCGUAGGUGGAUUGUUAAGUCAGUUGUGAAAGUUUGCGGCUCAACCGUAAAAUUGCAAUUGAAACUGGCAGUCUUGAGUACAGUAGAGGUGGGCGGAAUUCGUGGUGUAGCGGUGAAAUGCUUAGAUAUCACGAAGAACUCCGAUUGCGAAGGCAGCUCACUAGACUGUCACUGACACUGAUGCUCGAAAGUGUGGGUAUCAAACAGGAUUAGAUACCCUGGUAGUCCACACAGUAAACGAUGAAUACUCGCUGUUUGCGAUAUACAGUAAGCGGCCAAGCGAAAGCAUUAAGUAUUCCACCUGGGGAGUACGCCGGCAACGGUGAAACUCAAAGGAAUUGACGGGGGCCCGCACAAGCGGAGGAACAUGUGGUUUAAUUCGAUGAUACGCGAGGAACCUUACCCGGGCUUAAAUUGCAACAGAAUAUAUUGGAAACAGUAUAGCCGUAAGGCUGUUGUGAAGGUGCUGCAUGGUUGUCGUCAGCUCGUGCCGUGAGGUGUCGGCUUAAGUGCCAUAACGAGCGCAACCCUUAUCUUUAGUUACUAACAGGUUAUGCUGAGGACUCUAGAGAGACUGCCGUCGUAAGAUGUGAGGAAGGUGGGGAUGACGUCAAAUCAGCACGGCCCUUACGUCCGGGGCUACACACGUGUUACAAUGGGGGGUACAGAAGGCGGCUACCUGGUGACAGGAUGCUAAUCCCAAAAACCUCUCUCAGUUCGGAUCGAAGUCUGCAACCCGACUUCGUGAAGCUGGAUUCGCUAGUAAUCGCGCAUCAGCCAUGGCGCGGUGAAUACGUUCCCGGGCCUUGUACACACCGCCCGUCAAGCCAUGAAAGCCGGGGGUACCUGAAGUACGUAACCGCAAGGAGCGUCCUAGGGUAAAACUGGUAAUUGGGGCUAAG